AUUGAACGCUGGCGGCAUGCCUUACACAUGCAAGUCGAACGGUAACGGGCCUUCGGGUGCCGACGAGUGGCGAACGGGUGAGUAAUACAUCGGAACGUGCCCGAUCGUGGGGGAUAACGAGGCGAAAGCUUUGCUAAUACCGCAUACGAUCUACGGAUGAAAGCAGGGGACCGCAAGGCCUUGCGCGGACGGUGCGGCCGAUGGCGGAUUAGGUAGUUGGUGGGAUAAAAGCUUACCAAGCCGACGAUCUGUAGCUGGUCUGAGAGGAUGAUCAGCCACACUGGGACUGAGACACGGCCCAGACUCCUACGGGAGGCAGCAGUGGGGAAUUUUGGACAAUGGGCGCAAGCCUGAUCCAGCCAUGCCGCGUGCAGGAUGAAGGCCUUCGGGUUGUAAACUGCUUUUGUACGGAACGAAAAGCCUUCUUUUAAUACAGGAGGGUCAUGACGGUACCGUAAGAAUAAGCACCGGCUAACUACGUG
This 482-nucleotide ribosomal RNA is filed under the name uncultured bacterium. Its description in RNAcentral is "partial 16S ribosomal RNA". It matches the Rfam family "Bacterial small subunit ribosomal RNA", at positions 30 to 507 of the family's 1533-position model. The record is from RNAcentral.